GACUGGGCAGGACUGGGCAGGGCUGGGCAGGACUGGGCGGGAAUGUGACUCGGGGAAGUUCGGCUCUUCAUUCUG
This 75-nucleotide microRNA precursor is filed under the name Vicugna pacos (alpaca). RNAcentral's name for it is "miRNA (ENSVPAG00000017088.1)". The record is from RNAcentral. Lineage: Eukaryota; Metazoa; Chordata; Mammalia; Artiodactyla; Camelidae.